RNAcentral lists this ribosomal RNA (207 nucleotides) under uncultured bacterium. RNAcentral describes it as "partial 16S ribosomal RNA". It matches the Rfam family "Bacterial small subunit ribosomal RNA", at positions 524 to 730 of the family's 1533-position model. The record is from RNAcentral.
UACGGGGGGAGCAAGCGUUGUUCGGAUUACUGGGCGUAAAGGGCGCGUAGGCGGUCGUGGCAAGUCACUUGUGAAAUCUCCGGGCUUAACUCGGAACGGUCAAGUGAUACUGUCGGACUAGAGUACAGAAGGGGCAACUGGAAUUCUCGGUGUAGCGGUGAAAUGCGUAGAUAUCGAGAGGAACACCUGCGGCGAAGGCGGGUUGCU